RNAcentral lists this ribosomal RNA (253 nucleotides) under uncultured bacterium. Its description in RNAcentral is "partial 16S ribosomal RNA". It matches the Rfam family "Bacterial small subunit ribosomal RNA", at positions 524 to 776 of the family's 1533-position model. The record is from RNAcentral.
UACAGAGGGUGCGAGCGUUAAUCGGAAUUACUGGGCGUAAAGUGUGCGCAGGUGGCCGCGCAAGUCGAGUGUGAAAUCCCCGAGCUUAACUUGGGAAUUGCGCUCGAAACUACGUGGCUCGAGUGUGGCAGAGGAAGGUGGAAUUCCACGUGUAGCGGUGAAAUGCGCAGAUAUCAGGAGGAACACCGGUGGCGAAGGCGGGUCUCUGGGCAAUAACUGACGCUGAGGAGCGAAAGCGUGGGGAGCGAACAGG